CUUUCAAUAGCCCCGUUCCCGUUUUUUACCGAAUUUCUGUGAAAAAUUCGGCAAACGGCGUUUAAAACGGCAAAAAAACGGGACGCCGUUUUAAACGCGUUUUAAACGCGAAUUAACUAACUAGGGGUAAGACCAUAAGAGCCUUAUAGGUAGGAAUACAAUAUUUGUUUGGGUCUUUGUUGUUGUUAGGCCUGAUGUUUGCACCAUCUCCCAUCUCUAGAGUUAGUCUUUUAAUAAAAUAGGUUUGCUCCUUUUUUAUUAUUUUCUUGAGUAUAACAUUAUCUGCUAUCAGCAAUGAUGCUAUCCUACUUGGGUUGGUUGACAUUUUUUCUGUUGUUGCGUUCAACUGUCAGCAUCCAGAAAUUGCUUUGAGAACCUUUCAUCCCAGAUUAAAAUUUAUUAAAAUUUGUAUAUUGAUGUUCUUUCUUGUCUGGUGAAUAAUUAUUGAAUAAGUUCCUUGCAGAGCUUUCCUCCAUAUCAAAAGAUCAAGUAUAUAUACUCUUCUUCAGGUGUGUGUCGAGGAGGUAACUAUGUCUUUUCUGUAUAUCUUUCAAGUCUUAUUUAAAACGUGCUGAUUUUUCAAUCUUCUAAGACAUGGACUUUGUUGGAAUUCUGCGUGAACCGUUAAUUAUUACUAUUAUUAUUUUGCUUUUUUGGUGGGGUGUGCUAGUCCCGUGCUGAUGCAGUUGGGCUUCAGAUUUAGGGCUACAUGUUUAGUUUGAUUCUUUCCUUUCUAGAAUCACAAACAAAUCACAUUAAUUGGUAGUUGUGACCUGAUAUGUUUUUGAUCCCGUCUUCAGGAAGAGGAUACCAAGGGACAAUUUAAUAAACAACUUAGAGUGGAGCACUGUAAUGUUGAACAUCUUGGAUGGGCAAAAAGGGCUCAUGUGGCUUGUCAGGACGCAGGUGCAUAUUUACGGUGGAUAAAAAGAUCAAAACCGUAGAACCUUCUUGGCUCGAUUGAAACCUGGAGAACCCUCUUGGCUUUUCACUAUAGGAGUCAAUAGUUGGACAUUGGGACACGUAGCAUGAGAGGUUAUUGUAUAGUACAUAUGAAGAUUUUGCACAAAGGGGUUGUCUAUUAGUGUUUGAUCAGUGGUUGACUCCCCUUGUGGGGCCCUUUAACCCUAUAGUGAGGAUCUUCCCCCAUAAUGCAUACCAAGAGCAACCAAUUUUGUAUUUCCAGAUUUUUCUGUCAGUCGAGACUUUUCAUCUAAAAAUGUCCUUGGAUUUAUCCUGAUUGCAA
Macadamia integrifolia is the source of this 1246-nucleotide long non-coding RNA. RefSeq lists it as uncharacterized. The transcript has 2 exons. NCBI's taxonomy places the organism in Eukaryota, Viridiplantae, Streptophyta, Magnoliopsida, Proteales, Proteaceae. The record is from RefSeq and is a predicted model, not a curated record.